AUGCAGGUGGAGUACAGGGCCCUCAUGGAGAACAAGACCUGGAGGCUCGUACCGCGGCCGCGCGGUUCCAACAUCGUCACCGGCAAGUGGUUGUUCCGGCACAAGCUCAAGGCCGACGGCACGCUCGAACGCUACAAGGCCAGAUGGGUGGUUCGCGGCUUCUCCCAACGCCCCGGCGUCGACUUCGACGAGACCUUCUCACCGGUCGUCAAGGCGGCCACGAUCCGUGUCGUCCUCACCGUUGCAGCAUCUCGUCGGUGGCCCGUGCAUCAAAUGGAUGUCAACAAUGCCUUCCUGCACGGCCACUUGACGGAGCAGGUGUACUGCCAGCAACCCGCUGGCUUCGUCGACGAGGCUCACCCCGACGUCUGUCUGCUCGAUCGCUCCCUCUACGGCUUGGAGCAAGCGCCACGCGCCUAG
This 420-nucleotide ribosomal RNA is filed under the name Triticum aestivum (bread wheat). Its description in RNAcentral is "partial small subunit ribosomal RNA". Lineage: Eukaryota; Viridiplantae; Streptophyta; Magnoliopsida; Poales; Poaceae. The record is from RNAcentral.